RNAcentral lists this unclassified non-coding RNA (329 nucleotides) under soil metagenome. RNAcentral's name for it is "partial contains 5.8S ribosomal RNA, internal transcribed spacer 2, and large subunit ribosomal RNA". The stretch from base 1 to 120 matches the Rfam family "5.8S ribosomal RNA", at positions 35 to 154 of the family's 154-position model. The record is from RNAcentral.
GAUGAAGAACGUAGCGAAAUGCGAUAAGUAAUGUGAAUUGCAGAAUUCAGUGAAUCAUCGAAUCUUUGAACGCACAUUGCGCCCCCUGGUAUUCCGGGGGGCAUGCCUGUCCGAGCGUCAUUACAACCCUCAAGCUCAGCUUGGUGUUGGGCCCCGCCGCCCCGGCGGGCCCUAAAGUCAGUGGCGGUGCCGUCCGGCUCCGAGCGCAGUAAUUCUUCUCGCUCUGGAGGUCCGGUCGUGUGCUCGCCAGCAACCCCCAAUUUUUUUCAGGUUGACCUCGGAUCAGGUAGGGAUACCCGCUGAACUUAAGCAUAUCAAUAAGCGGAGGA